This 201-nucleotide ribosomal RNA is filed under the name uncultured Pelagophyceae. RNAcentral describes it as "partial Bacterial small subunit ribosomal RNA". It matches the Rfam family "Bacterial small subunit ribosomal RNA", at positions 1181 to 1382 of the family's 1533-position model. The record is from RNAcentral. Lineage: Eukaryota; Pelagophyceae.
GACGUCAAGUCCUCAUGGCCCUUAUGGGUUGGGCUACACACGUGCUACAAUGGCGGCGACAGAGGGCAGCGACCCCGCGAGGGUGAGCUAAUCUCCAAAAGCCGUCUCAGUUCGGAUUGUUCUCUGCAACUCGAGAGCAUGAAGGUGGAAUCGCUAGUAAUCGCAGAACAGCAUGCUGCGGUGAAUACGUUCCCGGGCCUU